This 212-nucleotide ribosomal RNA is filed under the name Staphylococcus aureus. RNAcentral describes it as "partial 16S ribosomal RNA". It matches the Rfam family "Bacterial small subunit ribosomal RNA", at positions 1 to 206 of the family's 1533-position model. The record is from RNAcentral. Lineage: Bacteria; Bacillati; Bacillota; Bacilli; Caryophanales; Staphylococcaceae.
UUUAUGGAGAGUUUGAUCCUGGCUCAGGAUGAACGCUGGCGGCGUGCCUAAUACAUGCAAGUCGAGCGAACGGACAAGAAGCUUGCUUCUCUGAUGUUAGCGGCGGACGGGUGAGUAACACGUGGAUAACCUACCUAUAAGACUGGGAUAACUUCGGGAAACCGGAGCUAAUACCGGAUAAUAUUUUGAACCGCAUGGUUCAAAAGUGAAAG